UAUAGCUCAAUGAUAGAGCACUUGCCUAGCAUGCAGAAGGCUCUGGAUUCAAUACCCAGUA
This 61-nucleotide transfer RNA is filed under the name Ictidomys tridecemlineatus (thirteen-lined ground squirrel). Its description in RNAcentral is "Spermophilus tridecemlineatus (thirteen-lined ground squirrel) tRNA". It matches the Rfam family "tRNA", at positions 6 to 65 of the family's 71-position model. From Rfam's summary of the family: Transfer RNA (tRNA) molecules are approximately 80 nucleotides in length. Their secondary structure includes four short double-helical elements and three loops (D, anti-codon, and T loops). Lineage: Eukaryota; Metazoa; Chordata; Mammalia; Rodentia; Sciuridae. The record is from Rfam by way of RNAcentral.